This 865-nucleotide non-coding RNA is filed under the name Pongo abelii (Sumatran orangutan). Lineage: Eukaryota; Metazoa; Chordata; Mammalia; Primates; Hominidae. The record is from RNAcentral.
UCACAACUAAAGGUCGUCAUCUGGGCAAAUGAACCACCCUGACUUGGAGAUUAGGGGCUCAGACAGCCAUGGAUGAGAGUCCAGCUCUACUACUUAUUAGCCUUGAUUAGACUGUGAGAGGGAUGGGAAAGACUGGUGCUUGGGGUGGCCAUCUGACCCCUGAUGGACAGGAGACCAGGACAAGCCCACUGGAUGAGCCGGAGGGGUCCAGGAGGAGGGAGUUGAGAGCUCCUGCUAGGGUUGACACAUUCUGGUAAGGAGUUCAUCUGCUGUCCACCAGGGGAGACAAUAAAGAGGUCAACGCAGCUCCCACCUCGAAGCAGCUGCCAGUUUAUUACAUGAAGUGUCAGGUUGUGGACUGCAGGCAUGCCAUUUUGUCUUCCAGAACAGAAUCUCUGGGCACAGGAAUGAUUCCAGGGUUCCUCCAGCACUUUGGUAUUACUUGAAAGCAAUCCAAGGGAUCUAGAAUGAACCAACGCCCAAAAAGGAUCCCUUAGCAGCGGUGAUAUCAAAGAAACACUUUUGAAGAACUAAUUUUCCACCCCGAUUUCCCCAAUUUUAAAAGCAAUGGGCAAAGCCUUCUCCACUCCUAAACUUCCUGGAACUGUCUUUUGGCUUUAUCAGGCCCCCGAAGUUAGAGUCUUUGAAAGACUCCAAACUCCAAAUUCUAUGCUUUUAUUCCCAGGCUCCUGAUAAUUCUACAGCACACCAGACUGCUGACCACUCUCCGUACCACUUUUAAAUUAUUUCUUCCCACAGCUUUCUUAACAAUGAAUUAACCUUUGAAAUCUUUCUAAUUUUCCAUUUAUUUUGCUACCUUUCCUCUGUCCUAGCUCUAAAAUGAAGAUCCUCUAAGGUUCUAAAG